GGUCAAGUGACUAAGUGCAUAUGGUGGAUGCCUAGGCGAUUACAGGCGACGAAAGACGUGAUAGCCUGCGAUAAGCUUCGGGGAGCUGGCAAAUAAGCUUUGAUCCGGAGAUUUCCGAAUGGGGAAACCCACCUAGCAGUAGGUAUCGCAUAGUGAAUACAUAGCUAUGCGAGGCGAACCGGGUGAACUGAAACAUCUCAGUAGCUCGAGGAAAAGACAUCAACCGAGAUUCCGAAAGUAGUGGCGAGCGAAAUCGGAACAGCCUGCACGUUUUAGCAGUCAGCAUAUCAG
RNAcentral lists this ribosomal RNA (291 nucleotides) under Dechloromonas sp. RNAcentral describes it as "partial 23S ribosomal RNA". It matches the Rfam family "Bacterial large subunit ribosomal RNA", at positions 1 to 292 of the family's 2925-position model. Lineage: Bacteria; Pseudomonadati; Pseudomonadota; Betaproteobacteria; Rhodocyclales; Azonexaceae. The record is from RNAcentral.